Long non-coding RNA from Herpailurus yagouaroundi (jaguarundi), 1787 nucleotides. RefSeq lists it as uncharacterized. The record is from RefSeq and is a predicted model, not a curated record. Lineage: Eukaryota; Metazoa; Chordata; Mammalia; Carnivora; Felidae. The transcript has 3 exons.
UGGGGCUUGAACCCACAAACCAUGAGAUCAUGACCUGGCCCAAAGUCAGACGCUUAAUCAACUGAGCCACCCAGGUGCCCCAUUAAUAAUUAUUUUAUCAAUUCUCUUUCUAGUCCUGAAUCUGCCCUAACUUACUGUAGGAUCCCUGGUAGAUCAUUUCUUGUAAUAGCCAGCUAUCACUUCUCCCCAGUAUUUCUUCUGGAAAAGCAAUCUCUUCUUUUGUAGUAAUACUGCUCCUUCAUCCAAACCAGGUGAUUAGUAAAGACUGUCAGUAAAGGGGGCAUGUGAUCAAGCAAGGCCAAGCAGAAUUCUUCCCUAGGAUUUAAAAAGAAAUAAUUGGAGCUAUUUUAUUCCAAAUAUUCCAAUAUUUUUUUUCUGACAAAUAUUAUGAAGAUGUUUGCUCUAAAACUAUAAUGACCGAUCCUUAACCCAUGUGUAGAGUGCUGGUCUGUGGCAGGAGAAAAUGAGGCCAUCAUGCAGACAGAACCAUAGGCAUGAGAUGAGAAAGUGUGUCCUGGGGCCUUCCCAGCUGUGCUUCUGGCUUCUUGAGGUUUGGCAGGUCACAUCUUCCUUUGAUUCUAUUAGACAAUUCAGUAUGUGUUUCUAAUAAAGCCCCCAUUUAGUUUUGCUCAUUGGAGUUAGGUUCUUAACAACCAAAAAUACAUUGUCCUCUCUUUGGUUCUCAGUUUUCUCCUUUAUGCAUACUUCUAGCUCCAAGUGCAAUAAUUCUAAUUUUUAAACACUGAGUCUUUCAGAAAAAUCGCACUUCUGUGGGCUUUCUGAUGAAGACUUUGUAUAAUCUCAAACUAAAACCUACUUUCUGCCCCAUUUUCUCUUCAUGUAUCUGAAUGUAAGAGGAAGAGGGAUUUCUCAUGGUGAGAAGUAGUUCUCCACAAACACUGAUGACAGCACAAAGUUUCCUAUGGUUAGGUCACUGUCCACGCAGAGUCUGGCUUCCCAGGGGCAGAAGCUAGACAAAACAGUGAAUGCUGCUGCUGCUUUUUCUCCACAUCUGUUCCUAUGUCUGCCAACUCAGUGACACCUACCAUCUUGACAGAAUACCAUUGACUGGACUGAGUUGUGUGAUAUGUUUUGUCUGCUUCCUUCUAUCAUUUUGAAGUGGCCAAAUAGCAAAUACCCAAAUAGGAAAUCUCUGGGAGACUUGAGUAAGAGUUUCUUUUGCUUGGUACAAAAUCAUGCCAUAGAAAUACUAAUGUCUGGCAAAGUAAAUGUCAGCAAGUCCCUGAGGCGUGUGAUUAGGAUUCCCAGCUCCCUUCAGAUUCUGAUGCAUCUCUUCCUGGUUUUUGCCAAUGGACCGGGAUAAAGCCAGUAGGCUGCGCAACCUUGAUUAAGUCACUCUCUAUUUCCAGGCUUCAUGAGUUUGGAUCAGAUGAUUUCUGUAGGCCCUCUUGGUGCUCUAAUGCUCUGUGAUUUUAGGCACAUUUUCUGUCAGAACUGCAAGUGGCAAACAGGAUUUUGGUGGGAAUCCUUUCAUUAUGAAAGCCUUCUUUCUUCUUGGGUACAAUGAAAACAGCCAAGGCUGUGUGACCACCGCUCCACCCCCCGCCCCCCCGCCACCACUCAGCUAGGCUUGUGGCUUUGGCUUCUGAAGCUUCCAGAAAGCAUCUUAGCUAUUAAAUACAUCUGGAUGGUCCAUGCCUACCUGUCCGAGGCUAGGGGUUCCUAAAGUCUAACAAGAGGAAGAGGAACAACAAGAAUCUCUGAUGAAAUUUGUUGAGAAUGGAGUGCAGACAUAUGUGUUUGAGAAGUGAUACCAGCCAGCCAAA